RNAcentral lists this ribosomal RNA (442 nucleotides) under uncultured bacterium. RNAcentral describes it as "bacterial SSU rRNA". It matches the Rfam family "Bacterial small subunit ribosomal RNA", at positions 355 to 787 of the family's 1533-position model. The record is from RNAcentral.
UGGGGAAUCUUCCGCAAUGGGCGAAAGCCUGACGGAGCAAUGCCGCGUGAGUGAAGAAGGCCUUCGGGUUGUAAAACUCUGUCCUUAUCGAAGAGAGGUGGGUAUGUGAAUAAUGUACCUAUAGGACGGUAGAUAAGGAGGAAGCCCCGGCUAACUACGUGCCAGCAGCCGCGGUAAUACGUAGGGGGCGAGCGUGUCCGGAAUCACUGGGCGUAAAGGGCGCGUAGGCGGUUUAAUAAGUCAGUGGUGAAAAGCUGAGGGCUCAACCCUCAGCCUGCCACUGAUACUGUUAGACUUGAGUAUGGAAGAGGAGAAUGGAAUUCCUAGUGUAGCGGUGAAAUGCGUAGAUAUUAGGAGGAACACCAGUGGCGAAGGCGAUUCUCUGGGCCAAGACUGACGCUGAGGCGCGAAAGCGUGGGGAGCAAAGCAGGAUUAGAUACCC